UUUAUGGAGAGUUUGAUCCUGGCUCAGGAUGAACGCUGGCGGCGUGCCUAAUACAUGCAAGUCGAGCGAACGGACGAGAAGCUUGCUUCUCUGAUGUUAGCGGCGGACGGGUGAGUAACACGUGGAUAACCUACCUAUAAGACUGGGAUAACUUCGGGAAACCGGAGCUAAUACCGGAUAAUAUUUUGAACCGCAUGGUUCAAAAGUGAAAGACGGUCUUGCUGUCACUUAUAGAUGGAUCCGCGCUGCAUUAGCUAGUUGGUAAGGUAACGGCUUACCAAGGCAACGAUGCAUAGCCGACCUGAGAGGGUGAUCGGCCACACUGGAACUGAGACACGGUCCAGACUCCUACGGGAGGCAGCAGUAGGGAAUCUUCCGCAAUGGGCGAAAGCCUGACGGAGCAACGCCGCGUGAGUGAUGAAGGUCUUCGGAUCGUAAAACUCUGUUAUUAGGGAAGAACAUAUGUGUAAGUAACUGUGCACAUCUUGACGGUACCUAAUCAGAAAGCCACGGCUAACUACGUGCCAGCAGCCGCGGUAAUACGUAGGUGGCAAGCGUUAUCCGGAAUUAUUGGGCGUAAAGCGCGCGUAGGCGGUUUUUUAAGUCUGAUGUGAAAGCCCACGGCUCAACCGUGGAGGGUCAUUGGAAACUGGAAAACUUGAGUGCAGAAGAGGAAAGUGGAAUUCCAUGUGUAGCGGUGAAAUGCGCAGAGAUAUGGAGGAACACCAGUGGCGAAGGCGACUUUCUGGUCUGUAACUGACGCUGAUAUGCGAAAGCGUGGGGAUCAAACAGGAUUAGAUACCCUGGUAGUCCACGCCGUAAACGAUGAGUGCUAAGUGUUAGGGGGUUUCCGCCCCUUAGUGCUGCAGCUAACGCAUUAAGCACUCCGCCUGGGGAGUACGACCGCAAGGUUGAAACUCAAAGGAAUUGACGGGGACCCGCACAAGCGGUGGAGCAUGUGGUUUAAUUCGAAGCAACGCGAAGAACCUUACCAAAUCUUGACAUCCUUUGACAACUCUAGAGAUAGAGCCUUCCCCUUCGGGGGACAAAGUGACAGGUGGUGCAUGGUUGUCGUCAGCUCGUGUCGUGAGAUGUUGGGUUAAGUCCCGCAACGAGCGCAACCCUUAAGCUUAGUUGCCAUCAUUAAGUUGGGCACUCUAAGUUGACUGCCGGUGACAAACCGGAGGAAGGUGGGGAUGACGUCAAAUCAUCAUGCCCCUUAUGAUUUGGGCUACACACGUGCUACAAUGGACAAUACAAAGGGCAGCGAAACCGCGAGGUCAAGCAAAUCCCAUAAAGUUGUUCUCAGUUCGGAUUGUAGUCUGCAACUCGACUACAUGAAGCUGGAAUCGCUAGUAAUCGUAGAUCAGCAUGCUACGGUGAAUACGUUCCCGGGUCUUGUACACACCGCCCGUCACACCACGAGAGUUUGUAACACCCGAAGCCGGUGGAGUAACCUUUUAGGAGCUAGCCGUCGAAGGUGGGACAAAUGAUUGGGGUGAAGUCGUAACAAGGUAGCCGUAUCGGAAGGUGCGGCUGGAUCACCUCCUUUCU
This 1554-nucleotide ribosomal RNA is filed under the name Staphylococcus aureus. RNAcentral's name for it is "16S ribosomal RNA". It matches the Rfam family "Bacterial small subunit ribosomal RNA". Lineage: Bacteria; Bacillati; Bacillota; Bacilli; Caryophanales; Staphylococcaceae. The record is from RNAcentral.